UCUUCACUGUUCUAUAUAAUGA
This 22-nucleotide non-coding RNA is filed under the name Arabidopsis thaliana (thale cress). The record is from RNAcentral. Lineage: Eukaryota; Viridiplantae; Streptophyta; Magnoliopsida; Brassicales; Brassicaceae.